GACGAACCGUGCGAACGUUAUUCGGAAUCACUGGGCUUAAAGCGCGUGUAGGCGGGGCGGCACGUCGGUCGCUGAAAGCCCCCGGCUCAACCGGGGAACGGGCGCCGGAUACGACCGCCCUCGAGGGACGUAGGGGGACCUGGAACUUCCGGUGGAGCGGUGAAAUGCGUUGAGAUCGGAAGGAACGCCCGUGGCGAAAGCGAGGUCCUGGACGUCUGCUGACGCUGAGACGCGAAAGCCAGGGGAGCGAACGGG
This 255-nucleotide ribosomal RNA is filed under the name uncultured bacterium. RNAcentral's name for it is "partial 16S ribosomal RNA". It matches the Rfam family "Bacterial small subunit ribosomal RNA", at positions 524 to 776 of the family's 1533-position model. The record is from RNAcentral.